Heterocephalus glaber (naked mole-rat) is the source of this 375-nucleotide non-coding RNA. The record is from the annotation of a RefSeq genome assembly. NCBI's taxonomy places the organism in Eukaryota, Metazoa, Chordata, Mammalia, Rodentia, Bathyergidae.
AUGUGGUCAGAGGCUCUGCUGCUGUGGAUGCUGCUGCUCCAGGCUCCAGGCUCUACUGGAGACAUUGUCCUGACACAAUCUCCAGUCUCCUUGGCUGUGCUUGCAGGGGAGAGGGUCACCAUCUCCUGCACAGCCUCUGAGGGCAUCAGUAUUAUGGGCAUUAAGAGUGUUAUGCAGUGCUAUCAACAGAAACCAGGACAGGCUCCCAAACUCCUCAUCUCCAGAGCAUCCUAUCUUGAGUCUGGAUUCCUAGACCUGUUUAGUGGCAGUCAGUCUGAGACAGACUUCACCCUCACCAUUCACCUUGUGGAGGCUGAGGAUGCCACAGACUCUUACUAUCACCAGGGUAAGGCGCUGCCUCCCACGUUGCUCUAG